CCUACGGGGUGCAGCAGUGGGGGAUAUUGCACAAUGGGGGAAACCCUGAUGCAGCGACGCCGCGUGGGUGAAGAAGCGCCUCGGCGCGUAAAGCCCUGUCAGCAGGGAAGAAAAUGACGGUACCUGAAGAAGAAGCCCCGGCUAACUACGUGCCAGCAGCCGCGGUAAUACGUAGGGGGCAAGCGUUAUCCGGAUUUACUGGGUGUAAAGGGGGCGCAGACGGCGAUGCAAGCCAGAAGUGAAAGCCCGGGGCCCAACCCCGGGACUGCUCUUGGAACUGCGUGGCUAGAGUGCAGGAGGGGCAGGCGGAAUGCCUGGUGUAGCGGUGAAAUGCGUAGAUAUCAGGAGGAACACCGGUGGCGAAGGCGGCCUGCUGGACUGCAACUGACGUUGAGGCCCGAAAGCGUGGGGAGCAAACAGGAUUAGAUACCCCAGUAGUC
RNAcentral lists this ribosomal RNA (440 nucleotides) under uncultured bacterium. RNAcentral describes it as "partial 16S ribosomal RNA". It matches the Rfam family "Bacterial small subunit ribosomal RNA", at positions 338 to 795 of the family's 1533-position model. The record is from RNAcentral.